GUAAGAACCGCACGUGCGAGUUCCCCCGCAUACGGCUCAAGUGGCGAAGGCCCUUUCCUUCGCGCUUGGUAAGCGCUUCGCUUUAGCCAAGCUUACUGCUAGCCUAUCGGCGUCAGCCAAGCUUCGACCGCGACUGCUCGUCGCUUCUGGCCGCCUUAUUCCGUCACCCGAGAUCCAAGUCAGCACCGGCAAAGAUCUCUUUCUU
RNAcentral lists this unclassified non-coding RNA (205 nucleotides) under Hevea brasiliensis (rubber tree). The record is from RNAcentral. Lineage: Eukaryota; Viridiplantae; Streptophyta; Magnoliopsida; Malpighiales; Euphorbiaceae.